CGUGUAGGCGGUCAGGUAAGUGGAAUGUGAAAUGCCCCGGCUCACCCGGGGACCGGCAUCCCAAACUGCCUGGCUUGAGUAUGGGAGAGGAUGGAGGAAUUCCUGGUGUAGCGGUGAAAUGCGUAGAUAUCAGGAGGAACACCGGUGGCGAAGGCGUCCAUCUGGCCCAAUACUGACGCUGAGGCGCGAAGGCUAGGGGAGCAAACG
This 207-nucleotide ribosomal RNA is filed under the name uncultured Latescibacterota bacterium. Its description in RNAcentral is "uncultured Latescibacteria bacterium partial 16S ribosomal RNA". It matches the Rfam family "Bacterial small subunit ribosomal RNA", at positions 568 to 774 of the family's 1533-position model. The record is from RNAcentral. Lineage: Bacteria; Pseudomonadati; Candidatus Latescibacterota.